AUGAAUUGUGCUGUCUGAUUUGCUCAAGUAUUCGAGCUUUCCAGUGCUUCCGAACAACCAAAGCCCCCAAACAAAGCUUAUCUUCUUUUAGUUCUAUAGAAGGAGUUUGCCAAGUAACACUCCCACAGCUGAAAAGCAUUUGGAAGUCACACCUAGAAGGAUGCUGGCACCUGUGCUGCUACCAUUCUCCACGCCGGCUCAUGAUUCCUUCUCGGCUCAUGACCCACUCUGGAGUCCUUCCAAAUCAGGGAUUGCCAGCAGGUCAAGAUGAGCCCACAAGUAUCUCUGUGAUAGUGAAAGCUAUGAGAACUAAAGGCUAAGCCAUGAGGUGGAUACUCUGCAAAGGUGGUAUUGUGAAGAUCUGUUGCUCUUACAAAUGGCUAUUUAGAAUUGGAAAGAGAAUAAAGCUCUUGCAAGCACAACAGGAACUGUCAGCUGAAGUACCAUUGCAGGGGUUGUUACCUGAAAGGAACCAUCCUCCAUGCAGCAGCUGUGGAUGCAGGGUAGGAAACACACUACCUUGUUUGCACCACUGGAAUAUGAACACGUCUCAAACUCAUUUACAUUUUCCUGUAAACCCAAUACUUUGGGGAAGACACCCUGGGGAAGACAGCCUGCAGUUCCCAUGUAAGAAGAAAUUGCUAUUUCAUCAUAAAUAUGUGAAAACAGGACAACUAAGCCACCUUAACAGGAUAUAUUACAGACAACAUCUUCUUUCAAGAACCUUACUACAGGUGUCCAGCAAAGGAAGUUCUCGGCCGUUGAGGGACAAGGAUCAGGAAUCAUGGGAACUUGCAAAGACUUUGCUUUCUCCUCAAGGGGAAGAUUUAACUGAUUUAUAUUUAAACAGUCUCAGAGGGAAGGGGGAACUGUCCACAGAACCUGCGCGGGCAACGUGGCUCCCUGUGAAGGCAUCAGCUAAUAGGAAGAAGGAGUAGAUUCUUGAUGUGGAUUUUAAUGGUCAGGACUUCCAAAUACACUGAACCAUUUCCUAGCUGGCCCUGAAUCCCACCGGUUAUGCCUCCAAAAUUUCUCCAAAAUGAGUCCAAUAGGUAUUCUCCUGAGCACCUCCAGUCAAAACUCACUAGCAAGUCCUUUACUAUGUACUUCCUUCAUCAUAUCUUGAACAAGAAAAAAAUAAAAAAACAAAAAACCCUUCCA
RNAcentral lists this long non-coding RNA (1161 nucleotides) under Struthio camelus australis. RNAcentral describes it as "lncRNA (ENSSCUG00000000447.1)". The record is from RNAcentral. Lineage: Eukaryota; Metazoa; Chordata; Aves; Struthioniformes; Struthionidae.